AUGCCAUGUCUUCUGUCUUCUGUUGCUAUGAAAUGUCAUGAGUAUGAAGGAAGGGAGAAACUCUGAGACUGCAGCAGUGACAGCCACAGGAGCAUGUAGGAUAUGAAGCCCUGGAUGGGAAACAAGUUCGGAUCUUCUGUGAAACUCAAGGAAGACGGAACUACAUCCACGCCUGGAGCCCAACAUCUCACCUGGGAACAUGACCAUCCACCACAGCUCACUGGAGGGGGUACGGUCACAGGUUAUCGUCACAGGAGCCACCACCUACAUGCACAACUUUUCUUCAGUAAACUGAGUGUCUCUCUUUCUGUCUCUCUUUGAAAAGUCACCACACAAAGGAUAAAAGUGUUUAUUUAGAUGAAGUUACUGAGAUGUAGCCAAGUGUUUGUAAUAAAAACAUUACAACAUGUAAAUUGUGAUUAAUC
This 425-nucleotide long non-coding RNA is filed under the name Anas platyrhynchos platyrhynchos (common mallard). Its description in RNAcentral is "lncRNA (ENSAPLG00000019580.1)". The record is from RNAcentral. Lineage: Eukaryota; Metazoa; Chordata; Aves; Anseriformes; Anatidae.